UACUUCAAAAUUGUAUUUAAGUACUUCCUUGUAUGUAGCCUACAGUUAGCCUACUUUCCGCUUCUGGUGGCAUUAUUACCUCCUUCUCUUUCGGGGUGCUAACGACUCCUCAUACAUAUCAUUUCCCUAUUUUCCUCUUUGGCAUUAAACACUCUUCAUACCCAGCGCCGCACAACGUACAUUGCGCAACAGAGUUGUCAAAGUCUGGCCUCCGCCUCUACCCACGUUUCUCUGAGAAGACCUGCCCAGAGCAGCCAUUCAUCCAGCUUAUACUAAAACUGCAGCAUUCCCACCGUAGCCCGGAGUGCAGCUAUGUUUUCCUGCAGAGCGGCCUGGCAAAGGUGUGGGCCUCUGGCUCGGAGAGCAGCCUACAGGUUGCCCCGGGAUGUUGUGCAGCGGCGACCAAUGUCCUCACUUCCUGGUGGGUCUGGGGACAACAUAGUCUACACCUUGCUGUGCGGUGGAGUCUUUGUUGCCUCUGUGUCAUAUGUAUACAGCACUUUGUCCACGGACACCAGCAGGUACAAUGAUCGCAUUGAAGAACUCGAAGCCAGACCCAAAACAGAGUGGGUCCCUAAACCACCACCUAAAAGUGGGGACGAAGAACAGGUGUAAUGGUAAAGCUAAGGUCCUCUGUGGCCGCAUGGAUAUUCGUCCUAGAACUGGACUCUUUGGAUCUGAAAAGGAAAACAAAAUCCCUGUCCUCCUGUCCUCCCCUCCUGUACUGCUAAGAAAGAAAGAGUGCUGUACUCAACCUAAAACGUCGGGACAUUUCUGUGAUGGAUUUUUAUUUAUUUUUUUGCCUCCUAGCUGCUAAAUCUUAAUCUGUAAAUCUGUGAAGAAGAUGAAUGGACUUGACAGAAGUAUCCAAAACCAAUUUUGACAUUUUUCUUUUGUCAAUGGACCAUCAUUUUCAACACCACUCUGGGGUUAAAUGUUUAAAAAAAGUUGCAUUGUUUAUGUGGGACAUUGGCCAUGCUAACACAUUAGCAUGCACUAUUGUGAGAGAUGGCAGUCCAUUAGCACCAUCCAAGGGGCUGUGGGACUGUUUAAGGUGAACAUGCAUUUCAAAUCUCAAAGGCCUCUUUCAAAAUAUAUUAUACAGUAUACCCCUUCAGUGAGGCUUUAAAUAUUGGCAACCCUUUUUAACAGCAGUGGAGUUUUCAGUUUGGAUAUGGAGGAUAACAUUGCAAGCAGAUUAAAUGGCUGCGAGUUGCCUCCUCAUGAUCUCUGCUCCACGAGCCACAGAGUUGAUCUUUUCAUAGAUUCUAUGAAAGAAAGAAAAUACUAGAAAUAAUCUUGGCAUUUGUUUUAAAUUUUUUAUAAACAUUUACCCCAAAAUUAUAUCACUUAAAAUACACUCGAACACACAUAAGCCUGUAUUCGCUAUUAUCCACGAGACUCUCUUUCAAAUGGAACAUUUCAGUGGGGAAAAGAGUUCUGGAAGUAGCAGCCCCUCAACAGAGUUGGCAUUUAUCCCAUUAUCAUGAAAUGCCAACGUGCCCGCAGGUUAAUAUCACUCCCAAUAGUCAAUAGUCAAGUGUUGAGCACCAGAGUCGAAGGGUCCUGGGACCGUCUCCUACAGCUGGGAGUAUUUGUGUUGAUGGUUAAUGUAGAACAAAUGUUGGGAUCUCUUCAUUAAAGAUGCACAACCUACCUGCGCUGUCUCACUGUCCGACUCACUUUCAGAGAUCCAGAUAACGCUUAGUUUAUUUUAUUGGAUGGUAAGAACCAAGAUUCAACUUCACCCCCUUCACCCUGCACCUUAACCCCCUCUCCUCUCUCCUCUCUCCUCCCCCCAACCCCCCCCCCCCCCCCUCUGUCUUGUCUGUCGUUCUCCGACCUAUCAUUGGGUUUGCAUGCACUUUAUGUAGUGAAUGUGUUGCCUCUGUUCUUCUGAUGAAGUAUUUGCUGAGGCUGUGGGCCUUUUUGCCGUGGCUUGUCUAGAAGUAGUCCUCCUUGAUCAGCCUGCUGGGAAAACAUGAUCAUCUGUUAGUAGCUAUGUUUCCAUCCAACUGUCCAUCUGUCUCGUUUUUACACAGUUGAUAUACUCCUGUUAUACACAGUGUCUGACUUACCAAUGAAAGGCAGCAAGUUGGAAAGAGUUGAACCAUCAUAAACUCUGAAUGCAACAGCAAAGAGCUGCUGUGGGGUUUUCAUUGAAAACUGCUGACUAUCUGAAGGCCCCUGACAUUUGACAAAUGAGAUAUUCAGCACACGGGUUAGUUUUCAAUUUAUUCAAACUUGACUUUAUGGAACAGUUGAAAUUGUUCUGAAACCCACGUACAGUAAGUCAUCUCUGAUUUGUAACUCUUUUAAUACUUUCAGGCUGCUUUAGUUUUUCAUCCUUUUUCUUUUAUCCAAGAUUUUUCCACCUAUGGUGUUGAAUCCAUAAAGCUUCCAGACAUCACUUCGAUGAUUUAUCUGUUUAGCACAACUUGCUAGUUAAUGGAGCAUGCAAUAGGAAGGCCCCCCACUUUGGAACAAGGCCUGAGCUGAUGCACUGAGACCGCUAACAAUUACAUCAGAAAGCUCAUAAAGCCUGACUGUAAAAAAACAAAGUCCAGUAAACGGUCGGGUGGCAUGGACUCACUUGCUGACCAGUGGGGAGGAUUCUUUACCCCACAGUGACUUUUUAAAUUCAGUAAGAUUAUUACUGGUCAAUUAAUUAUUUUCCCUAAAAAAAGAUUGACAGCCCUACUACCUUUGAGCAUGCAUAAAAAAACAUUUUGUAGGUGUUACUAAACAUUUCAUCAGUUUCAUAGUUUCUCACACCGUGGAUGGAAACCUAGCUACAGAUAAUUUGGGCAGCACAAUAUAUCGUUUUUAAAUUAAAGAAAUGUUAUCAUCAUUGUGAUUCUACUUUUGCUAUAAACGAAUUGGAAAAUACUGCGAUAUUGCACUCAUUUGGCAUGUUUAGUUAGUUGAAAUAGAGUAGAAAACAGCACUAUAAAAUGUAGCAAUCAUACUAUUUAAAAAUAAAUUGGUGCCUUUUGAGUAACAACAAGCAAUCUGUUGUAUUUUAGCAGUAUACUGAACGUAGCACAAAUGAGUACAAUUAAUAUCCUUAUCGCAAUAAUCAGCUUUAUCUUAUAUUUUCUUCAUAUUGUGCAACUGAUAACUUAUUAUUAAUAUUGUAUAAUGCUGCUUUUUAAAUAAUAAUCUAAAUAUCAUUUGAAAAUGUAAUGCAGCUUUCAAACUGCAUGUGUGUGUAGAAAGCACAGUGGCUGCACCAGUGAUUCAUAUUGUUGAGGGUGGGAGGCUGCUCACUGUAGUAGAGAAUGUGUGAAUGAAACCAAUGCUCUGGCUAAUGCACGUCUUCUGGUUCUUGUGUUCCAGCUGGAGAGGAGGAGGAGGAGGAGGGAGCGGCAGCUGAGGAGACCGGUGAAGAGGCUGAGGUUGGUGGAGAGGAGGCUGCUGAGGGCGAGGCAGAGACUGUAGUGGAAGCAGUCGCUGAGGCAGUCGCCGAGGCUGCCGAGGUCGUUGCCGAGGUGGCAGAAGAAGUUGCUGAAGCUGCGCACGAAGUGGAGACGAUCGCAGAAGAAGUGGCUCAAGUGGCCGAAGCUGUCGAGGAGGCUGCCGAGGCUAUCGCAGAACCAGCCGCCGUCGCUGCUGAGGAGUCCGAUAGCAACGGUACGACUUCUUCACCUGAGGAGGAGGAGGAGGAGGAGGCAGCUGCCGCUGAGGCCUGAGGUUCCACACAUUCACCACAGGGAGACGCACACACUACCACUAUUUCUAAACCACUAAAGGGGUUUCUCUUCCCUCAACACUGGGAAUAAUAACAGCGGUAACUUUCCGUCACUGUCUAGAACCACUAAAGGGUUAGCUGCUUCUCCUCAGGUGCCUGGGUUCACCUCCUUAUUGAUCUUCUCUUUUGUCUUCCGAAAAAUGGAUAUUUUCUCUAUUUAAUUUAUUGGAGUGGGUAUAGCGGGCAGCACUACAAAUGAAGCGUUGUUUCUGGUGUGCAGCGUAGAUCACUGUGUGAUGUAUAUUUGUUCAGAUUAUUAUGGGGCCGAGAGAUGUGUAAAAGCAGCAAAGCCAUCUUCUCAGCAGGUUCCUCUUGAUUUACAGCUGCACGCCACAGUGAGGCAUUUCCAAAGUGGCAGUGAGGGACUCCUCUUUAUGGGACUCAUUUGCAGUUAUGGGUGAAAUAAAUGUGAUCACUGUAAAUGCAACAUACAGAUACAGGCUCUUAUUGCACACAGUUCACAUGACUGAAAACCAUCUAAUUCACCUGUGAGAACACCACAAGCCUUUUAUCAGGUUCAACCAACCACACACCAGUAAAUGGACUCUGAGAACAAGCAGGAACACCCCAUAAAUGCUGUGAAAUCAUUGGUUUCUUUUAGUGAUGAUGGCCAUCAUGCUAUUUUACGAGAUUUGACCAAACACUGUAUUCCAUUGAAACCUCUGUAAUGUUGUACUUCUUUGCCAGGUAUCGCAGAGUAGGCGUUAUUCUUAAACUGUCGUACAGUUGUGUUUAUCGUACAGCAAGAGGAGAUGGCUCUGUACAAACUCUGUAACUGCUGCAGUGUGUUCUUGUCCUGAAGUGUAAUGUGAAACUCCUAAGAACUCAUUAGGUUACAAGUUAUUCAACCCAUAUGUGAUCAUAUUUUUAUUUUGCUUAUAACUGGAUAAUGAGAUAACUGUGAACAGUAAUUCAUCAAACUUCACAAUAAAACUUUUAUCAAACCGGAAAGGUUUACUGCCGUCUUUGAUUUGUUUGAAGUAGUCUGUUUACUGUAGCUUUUAAGUAAGGAUAUUUCUAACCAUUCAUUCCAGUUUAGAAAUAACGUCUUUGAUAAUGUCUUUAAAAAAAAAAAAGGAAAUGUAUAUAAAUGUAAUCUCAUAUUGAAUGCAAGUCUUCAGUGAGCUUAUGGAGACAUAAGAGAUGCAAGCUUGCUCUUCUUUGCAUUUUAAUCAGCCUGAUUUUAAAAUGCUCACUUAAUAAAUGCAUGUUGAAUGCAUGGCAUUUCCUUCUCACGGCUCUCUGCACCCUACUCGACUUUGCUACGCUGUCAGAAAUGCACUGGGACUUCUGUAAUCUAGACACAACCCUCACUUUUGGCACGGUUUGCACUUUUAGGGAUAAACAGUAUGCAUGAUGACCUAAUAGUAUAUUCCAUUUAUGUGGUUCCCAGUCUCUUCACAGAUAUUUUAUAUCAGUGCUGCUGUGUAUUUGAUCAAAUUACUCACAAGAAAACGCAGUGACUAUAAAACAUGCUGUACCUUUGACAACACCUCUUUAAUAUCACAUUUAAGAAAUCUUAAUGUUAUACGUUUAUGUAAAAACAUACUUUAUCAUCUGAAACUUUUAACUUCUUCCACUGCUGCGGGUUGACUUUGCACAUGCAUGUAGUCACUAUACAACCAGAUUUUCUGGCACUAGAUCCCCCUAUCCCUAAAAGUGAAAAGUCUAAACAUGUUUACCUUUACCUGAACACCACAAGUUGUGGGAGCAAUAUAACU
This is a long non-coding RNA of Cottoperca gobio, 5472 nucleotides long. Ensembl annotates it as fibrous sheath CABYR-binding protein-like. The record is from Ensembl. Lineage: Eukaryota; Metazoa; Chordata; Actinopteri; Perciformes; Bovichtidae.